Molecule: non-coding RNA, 103 nt
Organism: Nicotiana attenuata
Lineage: Eukaryota; Viridiplantae; Streptophyta; Magnoliopsida; Solanales; Solanaceae
Source: Rfam
UGUUCAUUUGGGGAAAUUCAAUGAAACUGGAAAAAUACGGAGAGGAUUAGCAUUGCCCUGCGCAAGGAUGACAUGCACAAAUCGAGAAAUUGUCCAAAAAAUU